AUUGAACGCUGGCGGCAGGCUUAACACAUGCAAGUCGAACGAUGAAACUCUAGCUUGCUAGAGAUGAUUAGUGGCGGACGGGUGAGUAACAUUUAGGAAUCUGCCUAGUAGUGGGGGAUAGCUCGGGGAAACUCGAAUUAAUACCGCAUACGACCUACGGGUGAAAGGGGGCGCAAGCUCUUGCUAUUAGAUGAGCCUAAAUCAGAUUAGCUAGUUGGUGGGGUAAAGGCCCGCCAAGGCGACGAUCUGUAACUGGUCUGAGAGGAUGAUCAGUCACACCGGAACUGAGACACGGUCCGGACUCCUACGGGAGGCAGCAGUGGGGAAUAUUGGACAAUGGGGGCAACCCUGAUCCAGCCAUGCCGCGUGUGUGAAGAAGGCCUUUUGGUUGUAAAGCACUUUAAGCAGGGAGGAGAGGCUAAUGGUUAAUACCCAUUAGAUUAGACGUUACCUGCAGAAUAAGCACCGGCUAACUCUGUG
Molecule: ribosomal RNA, 480 nt
Filed under: uncultured bacterium
Lineage: Bacteria
Description: partial 16S ribosomal RNA
Rfam family: Bacterial small subunit ribosomal RNA
Source: RNAcentral